RNAcentral lists this ribosomal RNA (530 nucleotides) under uncultured bacterium. Its description in RNAcentral is "bacterial SSU rRNA". It matches the Rfam family "Bacterial small subunit ribosomal RNA", at positions 772 to 1299 of the family's 1533-position model. The record is from RNAcentral.
ACGUAAUAGAUACCCCGGUAGUCCAUGCCGUAAACGUUGGGCACUAGGUGUGGGGGACAUUCCACGUUUUCCGCGCCGUAGCUAAACGCAUUAAAGUGCCCCGCCUGGGGAGUACGGCCGCAAGGCUAAAACUCAAAGGAAUUGACGGGGGCCCGCACAAGCGGCGGAGCAUGCGGAUUAAUUCGAUGCAACGCGAAGAACCUUACCAAGGCUUGACAUGAACCGGAAAGACCUGGAAACAGGUCCCCCACUUGUGGUCGGUUUACAGGUGGUGCAUGGUUGUCGUCAGCUCGUGUCGUGAGAUGUUGGGUUAAGUCCCGCAACGAGCGCAACCCUCGUUCUAUGUUGCCAGCACGUGAUGGUGGGGACUCAUAGGAGACUGCCGGGGUCAACUCGGAGGAAGGUGGGGACGACGUCAAAUCAUCAUGCCCCUUAUGUCUUGGGCUUCACGCAUGCUACAAUGGCCGGUACAAAGGGUUGCGAUACUGUGAGGUGGAGCUAAUCCCAAAAAGCCGGUCUCAGUUCGGAUU